GCCCAGUCGGCGGAAACUCACGGAACGAGCGCCUUUAAAACGUUAGGUCGUCAGUUCAAUCCUGACAGGGGGCUCCA
RNAcentral lists this transfer RNA (77 nucleotides) under Mycobacterium heraklionense. RNAcentral's name for it is "tRNA-Leu". Lineage: Bacteria; Bacillati; Actinomycetota; Actinomycetes; Mycobacteriales; Mycobacteriaceae. The record is from RNAcentral.